This 468-nucleotide ribosomal RNA is filed under the name uncultured bacterium. Its description in RNAcentral is "partial 16S ribosomal RNA". It matches the Rfam family "Bacterial small subunit ribosomal RNA", at positions 28 to 507 of the family's 1533-position model. The record is from RNAcentral.
GACGAACGCUGGCGGCGUGCUUAACACAUGCAAGUCGAACGGAAAGGCCCUGCUUUUGUGUGGUGCUCGAGUGGCGAACGGGUGAGUAACACGUGAGUAACCUGCCCUUGACUUUGGGAUAACUUCUGGAAACUGGGGCUAAUACCGGAUAGGAGCUCCUGCUGCAUGGUGGGGGUUGGAAAGUUUCGGCGGUUGGGGAUGGACUCGCGGCUUAUCAGCUUGUUGGUGGGGUAGUGGCUUACCAAGGCUUUGACGGGUAGCCGGCCUGAGAGGGUGACCGGGGUCAUUGGGCCUGAGAUACGGCCCAGACGCCUACGGGAGGCAGCAGUGGGGAAUAUUGCGCAAUGGGCGGAAGCCUAAUGCAGCAACGCCGCGUGCGGGAUGACGGCCUUCGGGUUGUAAACCGCUUUCGCCUGUGACGAAGAGUGAGUGACGGUAAUGGGUAAAGAAGCACCGGCUAACUACGUG